This 510-nucleotide ribosomal RNA is filed under the name uncultured bacterium. RNAcentral describes it as "partial 16S ribosomal RNA". It matches the Rfam family "Bacterial small subunit ribosomal RNA", at positions 28 to 507 of the family's 1533-position model. The record is from RNAcentral.
GACGAACGCUGGCGGCGUGCUUAACACAUGCAAGUCGAACGAAGAGCGAUGGACGCUUGCUUCUAUCCGUCUUACUGACGAGCGAGUAAGUAAUGCGUAAUCAACCUGCCCUUCGGGGGGGGCCAACAGUAGCAAACGACUGCUCAUACCGCAUACGCUCUAAUCUCGGCAUCGAGGAUAGAUGUCGGGCGGCCGCUACAGGUAAGCUAUCACUGCAGGAGGGGAGUGCGUCUGAUUAGCUAGUUGGAGGGGUAACGGCCCACCAAGGCGAUGAUCAGUAGCCGGUCUGAGAGGAUGAACGGCCAAAUUGGGACUGAGACACGGCCCAGACUCCUACGGGAGGCAGCAGUGGGGAAACUUCCGCAAUGGACGAAAGUCUUACGGAGCAACGCCGCGGGAGCGAUGACGGCCUUCGGGUUGUAAAGGUCUGUUAAUCGGGACGAAAGGCCUUCUUGCUAAUACGGAGAAGGAUUGACGGUACCGGAAUAGAAAGCAACGGCUAACUACGUG